UACGGGGGGGGUAAGCGUUGUUCGGAAUUACUGGGCGUAAAGGGCUCGUAGGUGGCCAACUAAGUCGGACGUGAAAUCCCUCGGCUUAACCGGGGAACUGCGUCCGAUACUGGUUGGCUUGAGUUUGGGAGAGGGAUGCGGAAUUCCAGGUGUAGCGGUGAAAUGCGUAGAUAUCUGGAGGAACACCGGUGGCGAAGGCGGCAUCCUGGACCAACACUGACGCUGAGGAGCGAAAGCCAGGGGAGCAAACGGG
This 253-nucleotide ribosomal RNA is filed under the name uncultured bacterium. Its description in RNAcentral is "partial 16S ribosomal RNA". It matches the Rfam family "Bacterial small subunit ribosomal RNA", at positions 524 to 776 of the family's 1533-position model. The record is from RNAcentral.